GGCGUGGUGGCGGAGUGGUUAUCGCGCAAGACUAGAAAUCUUCCCUAGGUUCGAAUCCUGCCUACGUCG
This is a non-coding RNA of Parastagonospora nodorum SN15, 69 nucleotides long. NCBI's taxonomy places the organism in Eukaryota, Fungi, Ascomycota, Dothideomycetes, Pleosporales, Phaeosphaeriaceae. The record is from the annotation of a RefSeq genome assembly.